RNA transcript from Nomascus leucogenys (northern white-cheeked gibbon), 5052 nucleotides. It is a transcript of the gene named phosducin-like protein 3 pseudogene, with no coding region annotated. The record is from RefSeq and is a predicted model, not a curated record. NCBI's taxonomy places the organism in Eukaryota, Metazoa, Chordata, Mammalia, Primates, Hylobatidae. The transcript has a single exon.
UUCAGUAAAAUUAAGAUUAAAAAUUAUGAACUAUAUUAUAUAAUUUUACAGGAAUAUUAGCUAUGUCCUAGAGUGUAGGAAACUACAGAUGGAAAUUACCAACACAAGCAGUUGCCGUUGUUCAUACACAUGUAUAUGUGUGUAAUUUGAAUUUAUACUAAAUAAAAGCCCAGAACCAAUAGAGGCUUUGGGAUUCUGCAUCAAAAGAACAAUUAUGCUAAAAGGCAACAAAUGAGGAUUCUAGCAGGUGAUACCUAAAAAACACCUGAGAAUACUUUUGUAUCCAUGUUUUUUCCUGUCGUUUGGCAGAAAUAUUGAAAAUACUAAAUAUUUCUGCUUAUAAUUUUUUAAAAAUAGCCGUGACUUGAUAACAUUCUGAAAUCAUUUGUGUGGCAAUUCAGAUUAUUGUGCUGUCAUUUAAGGGUGUAAAUAAAAGGGUCAUGGCCAUUUAUCUCUCUUGUUAAUAUCUGGUGCACUAUUCCCAAAGAGAGGAGUUUUUCACCACAGGAAUACUACAGUACUUAAAAAAAAUUCUUCUCGCACUAUCUCAUUUAAGCUUCAUAUCCAAGGUAAGCUUUUUCAGAAGCAGAAAUUGGGAUGCACAUUAAAAUGACUUGCCCAGAGUCAUGUAGCAAUUUAGUGGCAGAACCAGGAUUAGGACCCAGGUCUGUGACAUUAACCUUUCCCCUUGCUCCCUAGUUUACUACAUCCAGUGGAGCUCUGGAACAUUUUACCAUAAAUAGAUAAGAUUUUAUACAUACACCAAUAAUGUAUAAUAUAUAGCAAUCAUUAAUAAGUUUUCCUCAAUAAUGAACAGAAAAUUAGUGAGGAUAAUAGCAGCAAGAAUAAUAGAUAUUAUUAAGCACUUAACAUGGUCUAGUAAAGACUUUAUUUGAAUUAUCUUAUUGAAUUCUUACUGUUGCCCGUAUUUCACAUUGAGGCAAUGGAGGCACAGUGAUAAAUGAAGUCAGAUGUUGAUAAUUUGGAUUCUGAAGAAAGAGAAAAUCUGUUUAUUUGAGUCUUAAAAAUCCCUUCCUAUUUUCAAAUUACAAAAAAAUUUGGAAGUAACAUCUAAAAGAAAGGAACAUAGGGAAUCAGUAUAAGAUCCAUCUGUCAAUUAGAAAAUAAAAGCAGAUGGUAGUGAAAGUGAUUAUACUUGAGAGCACAUUAUUUAAAAUCACUGGUCCUCAAAAUGUGUAGUGCCCUGACCAGCAGCAUCAGCAUCCCCAGAGACUUCGUAGAAAUGCAAGUUCUUGGUCCCACCUUAGACCUACUGAAUCUGCAGCUUUCGAGAUGAAGCCGAAGCAGUCAUGAAUUAAUUUGAAUUAACUUGCCUUAAGUGCAGUUAUAGACUAAAAGUUUCCAGUUAACAGUUUCUUGGGAGUGGUUAUCCAGCUUUUUAAACAUUUUUAUCCCCAAGAAUAUCCCCUGAAAUAAUUUCAAACAGUGAGCAAGCACAAACUGUAAUUUUUAAAACCCUCUAAAAAGUAAUUCAAACUAGUAUGCAGUAUUGGUGUGAAUUGCACCUAAGGAAUACAUUUCUAAUGGGUUACAUUUCAGUUCGAUUCUACAUGGUUAUAAGAGCUUGUGUGAGUGCAGUUUCUUUGAGGGGUGCUUCUUUGAGAGGUGUGGUGGGGAUGAGUCGGAGGUGGAAUCUGGCUCCUCAGAUGAACAAAAAAGAAAGUUAAAUGACUUAUCUCGGGCACAGCUGGCUUGAGCAACUGAACUGGAAACAAGAUGCAGGACCCCAACGCAGACACUGAGUGGAAUGACAUCUUACGCAAAAAGGGUAUCUUACCCCCCAAGGAAAGUCUGAAAGAAUUGGAAGAGGAGGCAGAAGAGGAGCAGCGCAUCCUCCAGCAGUCAGUGGUGAAAACAUGAAGAUAUGACUUUGAAAGAGCUGGAGGAUCAUGAAGACAAGUUUAAUGGGCAGGAUGAACGUGCUAUUGAAAUGUACGGACGGCAGAGACUGGCUGAGUGGAAAGCAACAAAACUGAAGAAUAAAUUUGGAGAAGUUUUGGAGAUCUCAGGGAAGGAUUAUGUUCAAGAAGUUACCAAAGCUGGCGAGGGCUUGUGGGUCAUCUUGCACCUUUACAAACAAGGAAUUCCCCUCUGUGCCCUGAUAAAUCAGCACCUCAGUGGACUUGCCAGGAAGUUUCCUGAUGUCAAAUUUAUCAAAGCCAUUUCAACAACUUGCAUACCCAAUUAUCCUGAUAGGAAUCUGCCCACGAUAUUUGUUUACCUGGAAGGAGAUAUCAAGGCUCAGUUUAUUGGUCCUCUGGUGUUUGGCGGCAUGAACCUGACAGGAGAUGAGUUGGAAUGGAAAUUGUCUGAAUCUGGAGCAAUUAUGACGGACCUGGAGGAAAACCCUAGAAGCUGAUUGAAGACGUGUUGCUGUCCUCAGUGAGGCGCUCUGUCCUCAUGAGGAGGGACAGCGAUUCCGAGAGUGACUGAGGCUACAGCUGCUAUCACAUGCCGAACUUUCUUGUGACAAAUUGGCUGGAUUUUUUAAAAAAGGAAAAAGCAAAAACGAAUCCUUGUGGUUUUUAGUUUUGUAUAAAUUAUGUUUCAAAUCUUUACAUUUUGGAAAUAAUCAUUGCUGGAGAUUCUGUUAAAUAUUUUGGAACUCUUUUUUUUAAAUUAUAGUAUUUCCUCUAAAAAAAUUAAAACCAGCCCUUUGUAUGGCAAAAAAAAAAAAAAAAAAAAAAAAAAAAAAAAAAAAAGACCUAUCUCCUAAGAUCAUCUAGUGCUUGACCUUACAAAACUAGAAGCAUGAUUAUGCUUGGAUUUUCUGACAAUAUCAUGAUAUUCUCAAAGAGGCUGUUUGAGCCAGUCAUCGUUUCUCCCCAUGUUAUAGACGAGGAAUGGAACAGACAGGGAGUAUUUAAGAGGCUUGCCUAAUGUUUUACAGGGCUGCAGUGGAGCAGCAGGGAAAGGGAAAAAAUAAUGAGACAUCUGAAGACAAGACAAAGCUUUCCUCCACCUCCAGUCCCCUGCCCUGCUCUUUUAUUCCUAACAGAGCCUGAAGCAGCAGGAUGAUGAUUCACAGGGUGAGGCACACAAUCCUCAUGGCCCUCCUCCGCUUCCCACAUGUCACUGCACCAUCACCUCACACAGCAGUCACCAUAGCUCUUGUAAUUUCAAUUUUACUACUUUUAUUUUGCUAUGUAUUUGAAUAUUAUUUUUCAUACAAUUAUUGGUUUUCAUUUAUGUGCUUUGUGUAAGGGACUACGCGUCUCUAAGUGUGGUUUUUCUUGAGGUCAUAUUUUUCCCCAUUAGAGGUUGAUGUCAUUGAUACACAAAUGAGGGUUCAUGUGGGGAGGAAAAGAUGAUAGAUAUCGCUUGUCUAUAUAACUGAACUUUUUUCUGUAGUACAUUUCUUGUGAUUAUUGAUGGAUACCUACCUAUGUGUUCUUUUUAUGUCGUAUGUGUCAGGGAUUGAAUAUUUUAUUAAUAGUACUUACCAUCAGAUAAAGUGUUCCUUUUUCUCCAGAAGAUAUUUGUUGCUUUGGUCAAAUUUUUAACCAAUAAGAAGAGGAGAUAAAGAGGAUUGAGAGAGUGGUCAGAGAAAAGUUGCUGUAGAGGUGAUGCUAUCACCAGAGUUCUUUAAAGCAGCAGUCCCCAACCUUGUUGGCACCAGGGAUGGGGGUUGGGGGUGGGAGGAAUGUGGACAGGGAGAUGGUUUUGAGAUGAAAUUGUUCCACCUCAGAUCAUCAGGCAUUAGAUUCUCAUAAGGAAUGCGCAACCUAGAUCCCUAGGUCGUGCAGUUCGCAGUCGGUUUCAUGCUCUUAGGAGAAUCUAAUGCUACUGCUGAUGCGAUGGGAGGCUGAGCUCAGGCAAUAAUGCUCACUUGCCCGCCAGUUACUUCCUGCUGUGCAGCCUGGUUCCUAACAGGGUCUGUGGCCCCAGGGGUUAGGGACCCUUCCUUUAAAGGAUAUGGUAGGUGGAAAACAAAGGUGCUCUAGGUCAGAGGGGCAGCUUAUAUGGAAAUUAGGAAAUGAGACACUGCAGUUAGUGUAUGAAGUUGAAAUCAGCCAGGUGUCACUGUAGUAUACUGUGAAGAGUGGAAUAGCUAAGACCUGAGAAGUCAACCAGCUCCUCAUGAGCUAUAUAAGGCCCUUCACUUUACCCUGCAGGUUUGGAUAGCCACUGAAAGAGCUGAAUAAAACAGCUGCUUAGGUUUCUCCUUGCAUUUCCCAAGCAGUAAGUUGUGUUAGAACUGCAUGGUAAUUUUUUGAAGGGAGUUGAAGAAAAAGGAAGAGAAAAGAGGUAACAAUAUUGAAUGUAAUAGUUCUACAUUUUAAAUGUAUUGUACUGAUAUUUAUCAUACUAUGUACUAGGCAUUUUGCUAAACACUGGGAAUGUAGUGGUAACUGGCCCUAUUGCUGCCUUUUUCCUAGUAUGAUGAUAUGCUGGCUAUUUUAUUAUCUUACGGCAGAAGUCCUUUUGUUAGAUACACUUCAGUGUCGAUUUAAAAAGACCCUUAGAAUGCCAACAUUUUUAUGUUUCUCAUCAAAUAUUAGUCAUUAAGCAUAUAAAUAUUAUAAGAUAUUAUAUUGCUAUCCAAGCCAGAAGCUCAUUUAGGGCAGAAGAUACUGGGUGCUUCCCGUGUUUCUCAAUGUUCUGUGUCAGCCUGUAAAGUAAGAGGUAUAUAGUCUAAAUGAUCUUUCAGUUCUCUUAUAUAUAGAUAGCUAAUGCAGACAUGCAGUUUGGUAAAACCUGGCACUUCAAACACAUAAUUUAAAAUUAAAGAGACAGCCAUAUAGUUUUCAUAUUUAUUUUGAAGUUAUUUUUGUGGCUCUGUUCUCAGAGAGACUAGGGAUCUGGAUUCUACAGAAAGAUACCUUCUUGCAUAGAUUAGUCAUAACUCAACUUUUUAAUUUACAAUUAUGCAAUCAGUGCUGUACUGGUAAAAAAUUCCAAAUGACAGUAUGAAUUAUAUUUUAGAAAAUGAGACAUACCUUAUAAUUUUCUAGGUUUUUGUUUAGUUGGUUGAUUUUCAAAUUUCUAACAUGUUUCGCUGAUUGUGUAUGCUAAGGGUAUUUUAUAAAG